This 774-nucleotide ribosomal RNA is filed under the name Streptococcus anginosus. Its description in RNAcentral is "bacterial SSU rRNA". It matches the Rfam family "Bacterial small subunit ribosomal RNA", at positions 28 to 776 of the family's 1533-position model. The record is from RNAcentral. Lineage: Bacteria; Bacillati; Bacillota; Bacilli; Lactobacillales; Streptococcaceae.
GACGAACGCUGGCGGCGUGCCUAAUACAUGCAAGUAGGACGCACAGUUUAUACCGUAGCUUGCUACACCAUAGACUGUGAGUUGCGAACGGGUGAGUAACGCGUAGGUAACCUGCCUAUUAGAGGGGGAUAACUAUUGGAAACGAUAGCUAAUACCGCAUAACAGUAUGUAACACAUGUUAGAUGCUUGAAAGAUGCAAUUGCAUCGCUAGUAGAUGGACCUGCGUUGUAUUAGCUAGUAGGUAGGGUAAUGGCCUACCUAGGCGACGAUACAUAGCCGACCUGAGAGGGUGAUCGGCCACACUGGGACUGAGACACGGCCCAGACUCCUACGGGAGGCAGCAGUAGGGAAUCUUCGGCAAUGGGGGGAACCCUGACCGAGCAACGCCGCGUGAGUGAAGAAGGUUUUCGGAUCGUAAAGCUCUGUUGUUAAGGAAGAACGAGUGUGAAAAUGGAAAGUUCAUACUGUGACGGUACUUAACCAGAAAGGGACGGCUAACUACGUGCCAGCAGCCGCGGUAAUACGUAGGUCCCGAGCGUUGUCCGGAUUUAUUGGGCGUAAAGCGAGCGCAGGCGGUUAGAAAAGUCUGAAGUGAAAGGCAGUGGCUCAACCAUUGUAGGCUUUGGAAACUGUUUAACUUGAGUGCAGAAGGGGAGAGUGGAAUUCCAUGUGUAGCGGUGAAAUGCGUAGAUAUAUGGAGGAACACCGGUGGCGAAAGCGGCUCUCUGGUCUGUAACUGACGCUGAGGCUCGAAAGCGUGGGGGAGCGAACAGG